This is a transfer RNA of Geobacter sulfurreducens PCA, 72 nucleotides long. It matches the Rfam family "tRNA". Rfam says of the family: Transfer RNA (tRNA) molecules are approximately 80 nucleotides in length. Their secondary structure includes four short double-helical elements and three loops (D, anti-codon, and T loops). Lineage: Bacteria; Pseudomonadati; Thermodesulfobacteriota; Desulfuromonadia; Geobacterales; Geobacteraceae. The record is from Rfam.
GGGCGCUUAGCUCAGCGGGAGAGCACUGCCUUCACACGGCAGGGGUCACUGGUUCAAUCCCAGUAGCGCCCA